UGCCCCAUAGCUCAAUGGCGGAGCGGGCGGCUGCACGGUUGCAAGUUCGACUCUUGCUGGGGCAGCCA
This 68-nucleotide transfer RNA is filed under the name Desertifilum sp. SIO1I2. RNAcentral describes it as "tRNA-OTHER". It matches the Rfam family "tRNA". From Rfam's summary of the family: Transfer RNA (tRNA) molecules are approximately 80 nucleotides in length. Their secondary structure includes four short double-helical elements and three loops (D, anti-codon, and T loops). The record is from RNAcentral. Lineage: Bacteria; Bacillati; Cyanobacteriota; Cyanophyceae; Desertifilales; Desertifilaceae.